Molecule: ribosomal RNA, 431 nt
Filed under: uncultured bacterium
Lineage: Bacteria
Description: partial 16S ribosomal RNA
Rfam family: Bacterial small subunit ribosomal RNA
Source: RNAcentral
CCUACGGGAGGCAGCAGUGGGGAAUAUUGGACAAUGGGCGAAAGCCUGAUCCAGCAAUGCCGCGUGAGUGAUGAAGGCCUUAGGGUUGUAAAGCUCUUUUACCAGGGAUGCAGUACCUGGAGAAUAAGCUCCGGCUAACUCCGUGCCAGCAGCCGCGGUAAUACGGAGGGAGCUAGCGUUGUUCGGAAUUACUGGGCGUAAAGCGCACGUAGGCGGCUAUUCAAGUCAGAGGUGAAAGCCCGGAGCUCAACUUCGGAACUGCCUUUGAAACUAAGUAGCUAGAAUUCUGGAGAGGCGGGUGGAAUUCCGAGUGUAGAGGUGAAAUUCGUAGAUAUUCGGAAGAACACCAGUGGCGAAGGCGGCCCGCUGGCAAUAUUGACGCUGAGGUGCGAAAGCGUGGGGAGCAAACAGGAUUAGAUACCCUAGUAGUC